Long non-coding RNA from Syngnathus typhle (broad-nosed pipefish), 399 nucleotides. RefSeq lists it as uncharacterized. The transcript is spliced from 2 exons. The record is from RefSeq and is a predicted model, not a curated record. Lineage: Eukaryota; Metazoa; Chordata; Actinopteri; Syngnathiformes; Syngnathidae.
CACACAGAGCAUUAGCCAUCUUUUCAUCCCUGCCAGUGACAUCGCUCCGUCAGUCAAUCCAUCAAUCAGCAUGAUGUAGCGCUCGACGCUAAUCCAGUCGCGUCCUUUGAACCUUUGAGGAACAGACAGCACCAAGAGCACGCAGCGACUCCACUCGGUUGAUGAUGUCAGCCAAAUCAAAGGGAAGCGGCAUGUCGGGGUCGUCCACGCCCCAGAAGGGACGGUCAACGGGGGCCUCCUCGGGGGCCAAUGUCUGCGCCAGGCUCGAGUGGCACCUGAAGUGACGGGACACAAGGAACAAACGUCAGCGCUCUUGUUCACAAACAAUUGCUCAUCGUUAUGACUUGUACCACUUGUUGAUCGCGGGAGAAUACAGAAAAUUAAAAACAAAUGACUCAG